UAUAGUUCAGUGGUAGAGCGUGUGCCUAGCACGCAGGAGGUCCUGGGUUCGAUCCCCAGUA
Molecule: transfer RNA, 61 nt
Filed under: Camelus bactrianus (Bactrian camel)
Lineage: Eukaryota; Metazoa; Chordata; Mammalia; Artiodactyla; Camelidae
Also listed under: 1 other name
Rfam family: tRNA
About the family: Transfer RNA (tRNA) molecules are approximately 80 nucleotides in length. Their secondary structure includes four short double-helical elements and three loops (D, anti-codon, and T loops). Further hydrogen bonds mediate the characteristic L-shaped molecular structure. tRNAs have two regions of fundamental functional importance: the anti-codon, which is responsible for specific mRNA codon recognition, and the 3' end, to which the tRNAs corresponding amino acid is attached (by aminoacyl-tRNA synthetases). tRNAs cope with the degeneracy of the genetic code in two manners: having more than one tRNA (with a specific anti-codon) for a particular amino acid; and 'wobble' base-pairing, i.e. permitting non-standard base-pairing at the 3rd anti-codon position.
Source: Rfam by way of RNAcentral